RNAcentral lists this ribosomal RNA (464 nucleotides) under uncultured bacterium. RNAcentral describes it as "partial 16S ribosomal RNA". It matches the Rfam family "Bacterial small subunit ribosomal RNA", at positions 28 to 507 of the family's 1533-position model. The record is from RNAcentral.
GACGAACGCUGGCGGCGUGCUUAACACAUGCAAGUCGAACGGAAAGGCCCCUUUGGGGGUACUCGAGUGGCGAACGGGUGAGUAACACGUGAGUAACCUGCCCUUGACUUCGGGAUAACUUCAGGAAACUGGGGCUAAUACCGGAUAGGAAUCCUUGCUGCAUGGUGGGGGUUGGAAAGCUUCGGCGGUUUUGAUGGACUCGCGGCUUAUCAGCUUGUUGGUGGGGUAGUGGCUUACCAAGGCUUUGACGGGUAGCCGGCCUGAGAGGGCGACCGGCCACAUUGGGACUGAGAUACGGCCCAGACUCCUACGGGAGGCAGCAGUGGGGAAUAUUGCACAAUGGGCGGAAGCCUGAUGCAGCAACGCCGCGUGCGGGAUGACGGCCUUCGGGUUGUAAACCGCUUUCAGCAGGGGCGAAGCUUGUGGUGACGGUACCUGCAGAAGAAGCACCGGCUAACUACGUG